This 1236-nucleotide long non-coding RNA is filed under the name Astyanax mexicanus (Mexican tetra). RNAcentral describes it as "lncRNA (ENSAMXG00005022483.1)". The record is from RNAcentral. Lineage: Eukaryota; Metazoa; Chordata; Actinopteri; Characiformes; Acestrorhamphidae.
AGCGGGGCCGGUGCGCGAGCCAGUUUGUAAGCGUUUCUCCUCCGUCUCCAUCCAUUAGGGUUAGCUGCUCCUCCUGCGCCGCUUUACUGGCCCGGAACAGGAGCGUGUCCUGCGGGUCGGUGCUGCAUAUCAGCCCUGGGGGCGACGGGGGUCUGCGCGGCUGCUCUGCGACCUCUCACCGCAGGAAGGUGCUCGGCUGGGAGGAGGAGGAGGAGGAGUCGCGCUUUCAGAGCUGCAGGGGAAGCAUGUAGCUCAGCAGCUCGAGCAUCCGCGAGCCCGGCCACGGUAGCGCUGUAUUAGCAGCAGCCAGUUAGAUGAAGCUGGUUCUCUGCGCUAGCGAGACAUUUUAGCUUCAGAGACAGAGGGGUUAUCAGCACGCGACCUGCCUGCCUGCUGCAGCCUGCAUGUGAUGCAUGUGCUGCUGCUGUGUGUGUAGUGGCUCUGGAAGCUGUGGAAGCUACGUGACCUGCGCUUCUGAGCUAUGCUUUCCUCCUCUGGGAUUAUCGCGAUGAUAGCAGGGCAUCCACAACCAUCACAGAGCGAUUUCUAAUUAGGAGAAGCCAACCAGAUGCAACACGUUGCUGCUGCUGCUGGCUGACGAGCAGGACCACCAGAACCUCGGGGUGUCUUUCAGCCGCAGACUUUAUUCAGGACUCAGGAGUACAGCCCCAGCCUAUGGCAUGGCUGGUGGCACUACAGCCGUACACGGUGCUGGGCAGCCAAACAGAUGGCCAGAGAAACAAGCAGGAUCAGAUUUGAAGUCUCAGUCAGUCAGUGUGUGUUUGUGUGUGAGAGACAGAGAGUGUACAUACGUGUUUGUGUGAGAGAUAUAAUUGUCUGAGGUGUGCUGGUUCAGUGCUGUGCUUAUUUUGAAAGUUUUCAGAUUGCCACAGGAGAUCUGCUGCAUUUAAAAUGCAAUUCUUCAAAUAACCAUGUCCAUCUCUUUUAAUUAGAGCAGAAGCACAGGAGGAGAGAGCAUGAGGGAGCACAUGGAGAGACAGCGAGACAGAUAUAAGGAAAUGAGAUUAUUAGAUUUCCCUCCCGGUGGACCUGGGGGUGGGGCUUAAAAUGACCAGAGCAGACUGACCUCUCUGUUCUCUUAUUACUGUUUCAGAAGUUUAGGUGUUUGUGAUAACUUGGUCAAUAUGGCUCUGCCAAGAUAAAACUGAAGCCAUAUGAGAUUUUAACCCUUCAGUUACGGCUGUGCAGUUAAUCAGAAAUGAAUCAAAAAUGACU